RNAcentral lists this long non-coding RNA (3840 nucleotides) under Olea europaea (common olive). RNAcentral's name for it is "long non-coding RNA (OEUR_LNC008787)". Lineage: Eukaryota; Viridiplantae; Streptophyta; Magnoliopsida; Lamiales; Oleaceae. The record is from RNAcentral.
GCAGUAUUCGAAUUCUUCAACUAAGCUACAGCCUACAGAUUAAACAAAUAACAGGGAACACAAACAUCCAAAUUGACAUAGACCUCUCUUCUUUUCUCAAUUUCCUCAGCUGCACUCACGGGAUUAAGGUUUUUAAACCAAACCCCAUCGACAAACGAGAAAUGAAAGCAGAGAACUACUUCAAACCCAAAAUAUCCAGACAGUAAAUAAACUGGAAUAAAUCAAAACCCAUCUGUACAAACUAGAUUCUCAAAAAGACCUAGGCAUCAUGAUUCAAUUUCCAUAAUCUAACAAACUUACAAAGUAACAGAAAAAUACAAAAAUUUCCAAGCAAAGCGCACGCAUCUGAUAGAUCAAAAGGGAAAUUAGAGAGCUAACCUUGGACCCCAGAAUGGUAGAUACCGAGGCCAAGCCAGUAAGCAUACUCGUUCAUGGGAGUGAGAUCGUACACGUUAAGGUACACCGGUACUGCACCCGUCUUCCUCUUCCGCCCCAUCAUUCUGCAUAGCAUCUUUUUCAAUAUAUUUUUAUUUCACACACAAAUUUUCUCUCUAUUUAAUACGGUUAAUAGAUUUGGAAUUGGGAUUGAAAAGACGAAGAAUCAGAGGAGAAAUCCCAUCUCACUUUCCCUGAAAUUCCGAUUCCCACUUUAACUGUUAUAAUAAUGAAUUAUUUUAUAGUACCAACAUUCUACUGCACCUAGACUUGAUGACACUUUAAUAUACACGCACGCGCAUGAGUUGCAUCAGAUCAUGCGAAAAAUCCAAGCUCAAAUCCGAAUAUAGCAAUUAAAUUACAGUUAAUAAAUAAAAUUAUAGGAAUUAACGGCGCCAGAAAGAGUUUGCGGCCCCCAAGAUGCUUUUUAUAUCUUGGUUGUCUUCUGUAGAAGGUUAACCGUAAGUACUGUACCAAGGAUGAGUUCCCCCCCCCCGCCCCCCCACUUAAAAGCACUUUACUGCCAUUGAACUGUGGAUUUCCAUGGUCACAGAAUGGGAUUUGGGAAUCGAGUGUUAACUACGGUCGGUGAGAAGCCCAAAAACAAGGCAGCUCACGUUCUUAGUUUGGAGAAUUUGCACGAGUGCUCCUCAAUAUAUCUCACUUGUUCCACUUGAGUCUCAUUCAAUUUUUUCUGGUAUUCAAGUUUCCAAGCUAUAACUUUUGGUGUAGGUAGGGCUGGAUAAAACUCUCUAAUCAAAUCAAAUUAAACUGAAUUUGACCUGACACGAAUUAAAUCGAAUUGAGCGGUUCUUUUUAAACUAUAUAUCGAAACGAGUAUUCGAAAAGAGAAUAGACGGCUUUGGUUCGGUUCUCGAUUCUAGAUCAAGAACCGAAUCUUUCUAACUUUUUAAAUUUAUUUAUUUUAAAUAAACCAAAUUCUUUUAUUUUUCUAAUAAAUUUGUUAACUAAUUAAUUUUGCUCAAACUCAAAAUACGAUUUUUCCUAUUUCUAUUUUUUGGUCCAAGCCCAACUUAACCAAAUUGGCCUAAUUUUAUCCAAAUUUGUUAGAGAAAUCGAAUUGAAACCUCGGCUAACCUACUUGCUAUAUUCCUUUUCUGUGAUUUUAACAAUCAAAUCUAUGAAGAAUCCAACAAAAAGAAAUGUAAAAGAUGCAUAAGAUUGAAUUACAUUAUUUUAUAAGAGGUAUGAUUAAAAAUAUCAUUAGUUGAAUUAAUGUAGCAUUGUUAUAAAUAUUUAAAAAUUUAAUUAUUAUAUAGAACCCAAGAACUUAAUGAAACCGAACUCGAAUGAUUUCAUAAUUAAAUUUGAACAUGAUGGCUCCAUUUACUAGAUACCCAAAAAUUCGGAUUGAAUCGGACAAUAUCCAACCUAUGUAUAGGUUAAUCAAUAUGGAUGGAUAAUGUCAUAAAAUGUGGAGAAUCAAAUCGAAUCGGACCAUAUCCAACCUAAAUAAUAUGGAUGGACAAUGUCAUAAAUUGUUACCUCCCCCAAACAUCUCGCAAGUGUAGGACUACUACAAACUAGCCUAGCACAGUCGUUCCACUAGCUGGGAUUUAUGAAGAUGUGUCUUUUUUUUUUAAUGAUGGGGAACUCAUAGUCGUUAUCAUUCAGAUGCGCAUUAGGUAAACUUUCGAACUGACGCAAUAGCCUGCAAACCACGUCAAUUAAAUAAAUCACACUAGGCAAGCACGGUGCGACAGACUCGAUUGAGAAAGUGUUAGUAGGGGAAUCGAGCUCGUAACCAAAGAUGUCCACGCUCACCUACUCCACCAACUCGACCAUGUCAUGAGGGGUUUAUGAAGAUGUGUCUUUGUUUAUAUAACUGAUGAGAAAGACGAGCUCCGUUUAACACCACUAUUAGUUUAUUUACAAAGUCCAAAAUUAUUAACUUUCAUUGGUAAUAAAAGCAUGAAAAGGGGACAAAUGUGAUGAUUAUAGUCAAAUAAACUACGUCAACAAGAUCUCAUACUUUUUUUUGUCUUUUUUCUUUCUUUUUUUUUAUAAUAGAUAUGUCUUUCUAACAUGGUUCGUCAUCAAUUCUUGAUUAUGUAUUUGAUUUUUAAUGAGCUAUGGUACUUUAAAGACAGAUGAGACUCUGAUGAACUAUACAAUGUGCUUGUGUAAGAGGAAACGUAACUUACGAAUUGGGAAACUCAUUUCAUUCAUUUUGCAAGUCACUAAGGAGUUGGAGAAGAGAACUGCAUGGUGUACAGGUAGGGAUUCUGUAUCCCUAUCGACACCUCACACGGGAGAUGAGUGAAUUAAUUUUUGGACAUUUUUUUAUUCUAUGAGGUCCGCGCAUUUGUGAAUUUCCUGUAAAUAUUCUGUUAAGAAUAAAUUUGUGUCAAAGAUUUAUUCUUUGGAGAAAGAAAUAAGGAAAGAAUCUUCAAAAAGCAGUCAACAAUCAAAUUGUGAUUUUAUGUAGAUUUUAUAGUUUAGAGUUUAGACAACUUUUUUAAAACUAACAAUACGAGUAACAUAAAUUAAUAACACAUAAUAAAUGAAAAUUAAAAGUAAUAACUACGAGUCUUCUUAAGAGUCGUCGAAAACGUGGUCUUAAAGUUGUAUAGUCAUUCUCAUUGUGCUGGUAUUGGCAUUGCACGAUUCUAAGAUAAAAUUCAUAAAACUCACAUUUCGUUCUCCUUAUAUGGACAUAGCCUUAUGAAAAGAAAAAUGAGCAUUUAUUGAUCCGCGUACACUAUAUGAAUAAAUUAUAUUAUCAAUUAUAUAUUUUUAUUUUUCGGGGAAUAGAAAAUGAAAACCGUUGACCUCUUUUUGUAGUUGUACAUAUUGUAACUCGUGUAUUACACGUCUUAUUGAAAGGUAAAAAAAAUUAUAUGAAUCUUUCGAAUGAUAAUGUUAGGAGUUACAAAUAUAAAAUAGGAGUUAAAUUUUAAUAAUUAGAAAUUAAUCAUGUAAUAAUUUAUAUCUAGGAAAUAGACCUCAAAUUAAAUAUCAAAUAAAUUAAAUAAUUGAAGGAUUAAAGCUUUAUAAAUUAAUUUUUGUUUUAACAUCAACAAGGACCAUCAAGAAUGGUUACUGUAGAAAAUGUAAAACCCUGGUUAAAAGUUAAAACCCUCUUCCCCCUCGACUGUAAACUCCCCCUCAAGUCGGGCAAAAAUGGCCCGAGCUCUCGUCUAUGGCUGGCGUAGAUCACAAAUCUUCCAGAAAAUUGCAUCAAGCUGCUGCUACAGGAUUACCAAGAACAGGGAGAAGGAACAUUUCAUCAAACCUAUUUCAUGUUUGUCUCCGAGUCAAUGUCGUGAGGCCCAUAACACUUCGAACAAGUCCCGGAGUGCCGACCCUCAAAUUAAAACACAAGGGCAGACAAAGCCAUAUUCGCCGUUCGAAUCCAAAAUUCUCAGACUCGUCCGGGAUGAG